UACGGAGGGUGCGAGCGUUAUCCGGAAUUACUGGGUUUAAAGGGUGCGUAGGCGGUUAUGUAAGUCAGCAAGUGAAAUUCCACAGCUUAACUGUAGGGACUGCUUUUGAUACUGCAUAACUUGAACCAAGAUGAGGUAGGCGGAAUGUGGCAUGUAGCGGUGAAAUGCAUAGAUAUGCCAUAGAACACCGAUUGCGAAGGCAGCUUACUAGACUUGUGUUGACGCUGAGGCACGAAAGCGUGGGGAGCGAACAGG
RNAcentral lists this ribosomal RNA (255 nucleotides) under uncultured bacterium. RNAcentral describes it as "partial 16S ribosomal RNA". It matches the Rfam family "Bacterial small subunit ribosomal RNA", at positions 524 to 776 of the family's 1533-position model. The record is from RNAcentral.